Myotis lucifugus (little brown bat) is the source of this 74-nucleotide non-coding RNA. Lineage: Eukaryota; Metazoa; Chordata; Mammalia; Chiroptera; Vespertilionidae. The record is from Rfam.
GCCGGUGUUGCUCAGUGGAUAGAGCAUCAGGCUGGGGACUGAAGAGUCCCGGGUUCAAUUCCCGGUCAAGGGCA